CUCUCGCACACUAAGGGUGAAAAACCACGGGAUGGGAUGAUGCUCUCAUUUCAUCAACGUGGGGUAAGAGCAGGGGCGCAGACAAUGACCUCCGCAAGGCGGGGAACCAGAGAAACUAAAGCCCGCAGGGUUCUCUCUGGAGACCAAUCUCCUGCUUUUUCCUGCUGCAGAUCCGCUCUCUCCAUGUUUCAAGAGACGUGGCUGCAGGAAGCGUCCAGAGCUACCUCCUCACUGAUUCACAGCCAGAGAAAAAGGAAGCCUUCAGAGCAGGAGAGUAAUCCCAGCGCAGCCCCGGUCAGUGGUUAGUCGUGCAUUACUUUCCCCUGGGAGCAGAAGGUUUGUGAUGAGUCAAUGGGAAACCAGCACCUGUCAUCUGCGUGAAUUCUCCCCUCUUCUUCUCCAGUGAGCCUUUGGCUCACGCCAGCCCUGCCUCCUUGCUGCCUUCGUGAUGAACACACACAAGAUAUAAGAAAACAUGCCAAUACAGGCCCAGAUGAGAAACAGGGAAUCGAGUUGUCCUUGACUCCCAGAGAGCUUCAAAGGGGCUGCACCUUUUCAAAGAGGGACAUUUCUGCCUUAGAGAAACGGUGAGGAGCUCCACAUUCACACAGGCCUUCCUUCAGAGCCUGGUUGCUUGGCAAAGGUCAAGUCCGGCUCCACCAUGGUGCACCUCAGCUGGGCCACAAACAUCAUCCCAGCCCCUGGGCUGCUUAACCCACGAACCAAGGCAGCAGUUGUGAAAAGGACGCAGCCACAGCUCUCUUCAUCAAAGAGAAUUCCUCCAGCAAGUUUGUUUACAGAGCAAAGAUUCUCCCUCCUGGGGGGCGGGAAAUAGCAUUCCUUCCUGGAGGAUCCGACUGCUUUCCCUUCAUGUCACAUUCUGGGAUUUGACAAAUAUUUAUUGAUAUCUCCUCUGUUUGACAAGUCCUUUGAAACUGGCCUCUACAGGGUAAUCAUUUAAAAUUGAUUUUCAUGCUGCCUUAUGUUAUAAAUUGAUGGCAAAUAUU
Molecule: non-coding RNA, 1007 nt
Organism: Ictidomys tridecemlineatus (thirteen-lined ground squirrel)
Lineage: Eukaryota; Metazoa; Chordata; Mammalia; Rodentia; Sciuridae
Source: RefSeq, a predicted model, not a curated record